AGUGAACGCUGGCGGUAGGCCUAACACAUGCAAGUCGAACGGCAGCACAGGAGAGCUUGCUCUCUGGGUGGCGAGUGGCGGACGGGUGAGGAAUACAUCGGAAUCUACUCUGUCGUGGGGGAUAACGUAGGGAAACUUACGCUAAUACCGCAUACGACCUACGGGUGAAAGCAGGGGACCUUCGGGCCUUGCGCGAUUGAAUGAGCCGAUGUCGGAUUAGCUAGUUGGCGGGGUAAAGGCCCACCAAGGCGACGAGCCGUAGCUGGUGUGAGAGGAUGAUCAUACAGACUGAAAAUGAGACACGGUCCAGACUCCUAAGGGAGUCAGCAGUGGUGAAUAUUGUAGAUGGGGCGCAAGCCUGAUCCAGCCAUACCGCGUGGGCGAAGAGGGCCUUCGGGUUGUAAAGCCCUUUUGUUGGGAAAGAAAGCCAGCUGGCUAAUACCCGGUUGGGAUGACGGUACCCAAAGAAUAAGCACCGGCUAACUUCGUGCCAGCCGCCGCCGUAA
Molecule: ribosomal RNA, 506 nt
Filed under: uncultured bacterium
Lineage: Bacteria
Description: partial 16S ribosomal RNA
Rfam family: Bacterial small subunit ribosomal RNA
Source: RNAcentral